CCUACGGGAGGCUGCAGUGAGGAAUAUUGGUCAAUGGACGAGAGUCUGAACCAGCCAAGUAGCGUGAAGGAUGACUGCCCUAUGGGUUGUAAACUUCUUUUAUAUGGGAAUAAAAUGUUCCACGUGUGGGAUUUUGUACGUACCAUAUGAAUAAGGAUCGGCUAACUCCGUGCCAGCAGCCGCGGUAAUACGGAGGAUCCGAGCGUUAUCCGGAUUUAUUGGGUUUAAAGGGAGCGUAGGUGGAUUGUUAAGUCAGUUGUGAAAGUUUGCGGCUCAACCGUAAAAUUGCGGUUGAAACUGGCAGUCUUGAGUACAGUAGAGGUGGGCGGAAUUCGUGGUGUAGCGGUGAAAUGCUUAGAUAUCACGAAGAACUCCGAUUGCGAAGGCAGUUCACUGGACUGCAACUGACACUGAGGCUCGAAAGUGUGGGUAUCAAACAGGAUUAGAUACCCCAGUAGUC
Molecule: ribosomal RNA, 460 nt
Filed under: uncultured bacterium
Lineage: Bacteria
Description: partial 16S ribosomal RNA
Rfam family: Bacterial small subunit ribosomal RNA
Source: RNAcentral